UAGGGUUUUUUGCUUUUUCUACCUUUUUAUGACCUGAUUUCCUCCUUUGUUUCCUUUUAUAUAUCAACUGAAACAUUUCUUUUUUUCCAUUAUUUUUCAUUGAUUUUUACUUUGUAAACCAUGAAAGUUUUGAGUUCUGGCUCUUAUUUUCAAUUCAUUCUCUAAUAUUGACCUCAGUCACCACAUGAAUGAUUAAAAGACCUUAGAACUCUUUCAACCUGAUCAACCCUAGUCUGUUUCACAAACAGACUAGAUUUCAUGAUUUUAGUUCCUUCCUUUUAGCUAAACAUAUUUUAUAUUACUUUUAUCAUUGUAUAAAAAUAACAUUUUGAUUUUCAUACAUUUAUAUAUUUUUUCGUGGCUUAAGCAACAUAAAUCUCUUAUCUCACAAUCAGAACUUAGAAGUCUGAAACCAGGUGUCAGCAAGCUGUUUCCUUCUGAGGGCUGUUGGGGAAGAAUCUGCUCUAGGCCUCUAGGUUUGUAGAUAGCAUUUUCAUGUUCACCUCAAACCCCUGUAUUUUCACGUCUUUACUAUACUACUUUUUUUUUCAGUAUUAUUUCUUGCAACACAGACCGUUCGGGAUUUCUUUUUCUUCCUGAAAUAUAUCAUUUAGAAAUUUCUUUGGGUAGGAAAUAUUAGUAGUAAAAUCAAGCCUACUUCAUUGCAAAAUAUCAUUAUUUUACUUUCAGUAUUAGUAGAUAGUUUUGUUGUGCCAGUGAAUCUAGGUUGAUAGCUGUUUUUUCUGUCAUUCUGAAGAAAUCACUCUACUGUCUUCUGGCUUCCAUUGUUGCUGUUGACAGCUUUUCUGCAGAUCUGUUUGUCUAUGAUGUCAUCUUUAUUGCUGCUACUGGGCUCUUCUUUUCAUCAAAUGUCUCUUGUAAUUUUAGUAUUUAUUAUAAUGUUUCGUACAGAUGAUGGCCUCACCAAGUUUAUAUCUCAUCAAUUCUAGGAUUCAAUUUAAAAGGUUUUCAUAGGCAAUAAGUUUUAGUCAAUAUUAUUGAAAUCUCAAUAUUACAAAAAAGCAAAUUUUCUAAAGAAGGAGUAUUUCCUCUCACAAAAAAAGAGGCCUACUGCUCACUUCAACAGUACAUAUAUUAAAAUUAGAAUGACACAAAGAUUAGUAUGGCCCCUCUGCAAAGAUGACAUGCAAAUUCAUGAAGCAUCCUGUAUGUUUUAUAUAUUUAAAAUUUAUUAAAGGAGUAGAUAGAUAUUAAGUGUUCUUAGCCAAAAAAUAAGCAAUAAAUGAAUAAAAACUACCCCCCCGCAACAAAAAUCUAUCUAUGUCAAGUGAUGUAGAUGUUAAUUACUUUUAUUUUGGGAAUCAUUUUACAAGAUAUACUUAUAUCAAAAUACUGUAUGUAUUGUGCACCUUAAAUAAUUAAGUUUUUUGUCAAUCACACCUGAACAAAGCUGAAAACAAACAAAGCUGAAAAAGUAUGUAAAACUUUUUUUUUUUUUUAAUUUGUCUUAUUGGUGCUAGGUAAAAGAAAAUCUGUGUGGAAUUUUUGUGGCAUUUAUGUAAAACAGGGAAAUCAUUUUGGAGAAAACAAAGACAAUUUUGCAUAAGAAUAAUGUUUUUCCCUUUUUAGUCUUCAAAAUUAAAUAUUAAUGAACUCUUUCUCAAGUUUGAGCAGGUGCUAGGCCAUUUUACUUUGCAAGCAAGAUAGGAGUAACAAAAUAUAAAGAGAGAUUACUGCUUUUCCUGUGAGCCUGCAGGAGGUGUUUCUGGCUUAUUAGUUCUAACUUAAUUAUUACUUCUACUUUUGGGAAACAGGUAAGAUUAAUGUUACAGAAAUAAAUAUUUAAGUGAUCAAAUCAAAUUAUUCACAGAUUUGUAGUUAAAAUUUCACCUUGAAAAUAACAUCUCCAUUUCAAAACAUUGUCUUAAAAAUCUACGACCGG
RNAcentral lists this long non-coding RNA (1903 nucleotides) under Homo sapiens (human). The record is from RNAcentral. Lineage: Eukaryota; Metazoa; Chordata; Mammalia; Primates; Hominidae.